Molecule: long non-coding RNA, 4661 nt
Organism: Capra hircus (goat)
Lineage: Eukaryota; Metazoa; Chordata; Mammalia; Artiodactyla; Bovidae
Source: Ensembl
AUGAUCAGUGUUUUGUGUUUUUUUUUUUUUUUUUUUUUCCUUCUAGUUAUGAAGAACCUCCUCCUGAGUUUAUCAUGGAAGAUGAGACUAAGCCAGAAGACUGUAUACCAGAUGUCCCAGGCAAUGAACAUGCCAGGGAAUUUCUGGCCCACGCACCAACCAAAGGACUUUGGAUGCCACUCGGGAAAGAAGUCAAAGUCAUGCAGUGCACAUGAAGAUCCCAUGUAUGACAUCAUACAAGAGAAUAAAAGACACAAAAAGGAUAUAAGGAUACAACAAUCAAAACAAUUACUGGAGGAUUCAGCGUCAGAUGACUAUGGGAGAAGCUCCAGUUCCUCAGAACAGAAACGCAAGAAAAGAAAAAGAAGAAAAAACGAAAGCAUAAGUCUUCCAAGUCAAAUGAGAGUUCGGACACAGAACGACGGAGCCUGGCUUGUUCAACACUCUCCUCUCAAAAACCAAACACUGUGGCCAAAGCUGAGAGGACCCGUGGAGGAAGGCGGAGUCGGAGAGGAACAGGAGAGACGCCCAGAGGGAGGGGCUGUGGAGGCCCAGGUGCGGGUUCUCCCCUGCCUUCCAGGGAGGAUGUGAGUUGUGUGUUGCCAGGUGCUAGCUCUGGCCACGCCUGACUUCAGGCUGGAGAGCUUUUCCCCUUGUGCUCCUCCCUGCUGAUCCCUGUGGGUCCCAACUCCUUAGGAAUGCCUAGGGCAGGGCGGCCAGAUGAAGGGAGUCUCUGAGGAGCUCCUCCGGGGCUGCCGUAGGUUCCCCCUCCAGGGGGGAGCUACCUGUGUAGAGCUCAGGCCUGAUUUCCCUCUGCUGCUGAGGAUAAUAAAAGCUCACUAUUUAUUUUAAAAAUACUCAGUUAUUUUUAAAUCAUCAUAGUAUACUUAUGUCCAAAUUUAGAAGGUGUAUGAGGGGAAUGCCCUGGCAAGUCCAGUGGUUAGGACUCUAUGCUUUCACCACCGUGGCCCGGGUUCAAAUCACUGACUGGCGGAUCAGUGCUAGCUGUGAGGUGUAAUCAGAAAUAUAUAUAUGUAUAAGGUAUAUAUGGUUUUAAUCAUGAAAAACUUUCCUCUUUUCUUCCCCAGCUAUUUAGUUCCCUUUCCCAAUGGCUAUCAAUUUUACUAAUUUUUCAUCAAGUCAUCCAGAAAUAUCUUACGUAUCACAAGCAAAUGUUUUUUUCCCUUUUUUAAUACAAAUGCUAGCAUACCAACCCAUUUGUCUGCAUUGUUUAGGUUUUUUAUUUUUCAGCUCAACAGUGUAAAACAUGUUGGUCUUUGCUAUACACAGAAGUCUCGAGUUCAUGAAACAAAGACAGUGAAAGUCGCUCAGUUGUGUCUGAUUCUUUGCAACCCCAUGGACUAUACAGUCCAUGAAAUUCUCCAGGGGAGAAUACUGGAGUGGGUAGCCUUUUCCUUCUUCAGGGGAUAUUCCCAACCCAGGGAUCGAAACCAGGUCUCCCACAUUGCAGGCAGAUUCUUUACCAGCUGGGCCACAAGGGAAGCCCAUAAAACUCUCUCAUGUUUGGCUGAGUUUUCAGGGGAAGGGAUCAGUUCAGUUCAGUCACUCAGUUGUAUCCGACUCUUUGUGACCCCAUUGACUGCAGCAGGGCAGGUCUCCCUGUCCAUCAUCAACUUCUGGAGUUUACUCAAACUCAUGUCCAUUGAGUCAGUGAUGCCAUCCAACCAUCUUAUCCUCUGUCAUCCCCUUUUCCUCUUGCCUUCAAUCUUUCCCAGCAUCAGGGUGUGUGUGUGUUAGUCGCUCAGUCAUGUCCAACUCUUUGCAACCCCAUGGACUGCAGCCCACCAGGCUCCUCUGUCCAUGAGGUUUUCCAGGCAAGGAUACUGGAGUGGGUUGCCAUUUCCUUCUCCAGGGGAUCUUCCCAACCCAGGGAUCGAACCCAGGUCUCCUGCACUGCAGGCAGAUCCUUUAUUGACUGAGCUACAAGGGAAGCCCAGCAUCAGGGUUCUUGCUCAGUAAAUCUUUAAUCCAAUUUUCUAUUGAUGGGUAGAGCUGUGUUCCCUCCCUGCUAUUUACCUGGGACCAAACUAUGGUGGAGGUAAUGAAGAUAAUGGUGAUCUCCAUCAAAAGAUCCCAUGCAUGUACUGCUACAGUCCGUGCCCCCAACCCUGCAGCAGGCCAUUACCGCCACGCCUUCGCCAGAGACUUCCAGACACCCACAGGCAAGUCUGGGACAGACUCCUGUGGGGUCACUGCCCCUUUCUCCUGGGUCCUGGUGCACAAGGUUCUGUUGUGCCCUCCAAGAGUCUAUUUCCCAGUCCUGUGUAAGUUCUGGCAGCUCUGUGCUUGGGGUUAAUGGCGACCUCCUCCAAGAGGGCUUAUGCCUACCCACACGCAGAGCCUCUGUCCCUGCGGUAGACCACUGCUGACCCAUACCUCCACAGGAGAUGCUCAAACACAGUUCUGUUUCAGUCUCUGUGGGGUUCCUCGGUCCUGGUGCGCACAAACGUCGUUUGAGUCCUCUGAGCGCCUCUGGCAGGAAAGGGGUUUGAUUCUAAACGUGAAUUUGCAACUCUAUACAGUCAACAAAAACAAGACCAGGAGCUGACUGUGGCUCAGAUCAUGAACUCCUUAUUACCAAAUUCAGACUUACAUUGAAGAAAGCAGGGAAAACCGCUAGACCAUUCAGGUAUGACCUAAAUCAAAUCCCUUAUGAUUAUACAGUGGAAGUAAGAAAUAGAUUUAAGGGCCUAGAUCUGAUAGAUAGAGUGCCUGAUGAACUAUAGAAUGAGGUUCGUGACAUUGUACAGGAGACAGGGAUUGAGACCAUCCCCAUGGAAAAGAAAUGCAUAAAAGCAAAAUGGGUGUCUGGGGAAGCCUUACAAAUAGCUGUGAAAAGAAGAGAAGCGAAAAGCAAAGGAGAAAAGGAAACAUAUAAGCAUCGAAUGCAGAGUUCCAAAGAAUAGCAAGGAGAGAUAAGAAAGCCUUCUUCAGCGAUCAAUGCAAAGAAAUAGAGGAAAACAACAGAAUGGGAAAGACUAGAGAUCUCUUCAAGAAAAUUAGAGAUACCAAGGGAACAUUUCAUGCAAAGAUGGGCUCAAUAAAAGACAGACAUGGUAUGGACCUAACAGAAGUAGAAGAUAUUAAGAAGAGGUGGCAAGAAUACACAGAAGAACUGUACAAAAAGGAUCUUCAUGACCCGGAUAAUCACGAUGGUGUGAUCACUCACCUAGAGCCCAGACAUCCUGGAAUGUGAAGUCAAGUGAGCCUUAGGAAGCAUCACUACGAACAAAGCUAGUGGAGGUGAUGGAAUUCCAGUUGAGCUAUUUCAAAUCCUAAAAGAUGAUGCUGUGAAAGUGCUGCACUCAAUAUGCCAGCAAAUUUGGAAAACUCAGCAGUGGCCACAGGACUGGAAAAGGUCAGUUUUCAUUCCAAUCCCAAAGAAAGGCAAGGCCAAAGAAUGCUCAAACCACCACACAAUUGCACUCAUCUCACACGCUAGUAAAGUCAUGCUCAAAAUUCUCCAAGCCAGGCUUCAGCAAUAUGUGAACCGUGAACUUCCUGAUGUUCAAGCUGGUUUUUGAAAAGGCAGAGGAACCAGAGAUCAAAUUGCCAACAUCUGCAGGAUCAUUGAAAAAGCAAGAGAGUUCCAGAAAAACAUCUAUUUCUGCCUUAUUGACUAUGCCAAAGCCUUUGACUGUGUGGAUCACAAUAAACUGGAAAAUUCUGAAAGAGAUGGGAAUACCAGACCACCUAACCUGCCUCUUGAGAAAUCUGUAUGCAGGUCAGGAAGCCAACAGUUAGAACUGGACAUGGAACAACAGACUGGUUCCAAAUAGGAAAAGGAGUACGUCAAGGCUGUAUAUUGUCACCCUGCUUAUUUAACUUAUAUGCAGAGUACAUCAUGAGAAAUGCUGGACUGGAAGAAACACAGGCUGGAAUCAAGAUUGCCAGGAGAAAUAUCAAUAACCUCAGAUAUGAAGAUGACACAACCCUAUGGCAGAAAGUGAAGAGGAACUAAAGAGCCUCUUGAUGAAAGUGAAAGAGGAGAGUGAAAAAGUUGGCUUAAAGCUCAACAUUCAGAAAAUGAAAAUCAUGGCAUCCAGUCCCAUCACUUCAUGGGAAACAGAUGGAGAAACAAUGGAAACAGUGUCAGACUUUAUUUUUUGGGGCUCCAAAAUCACUGCAGAUGGUGACUGCAGCCAUGAAAUUAAAAGACGCUUACUCCUUGGAAGAAAAGUUAUGACCAACCUAGAUAGCAUAUUCAAAAGCAGAGACAUUACUUCGCUGACUAAGGUCUGUCUAGUCAAGGCUAUGGUUUUUCCAGUAGUCAUGUAUGGAUGUGAGAGUUGGACUGUGAAGAAGGCUGAGCACCAAAGAAUUGAUGCUUUUGAACUGUGGUGUUGGAGAAGACUCUUGAGAGUCCCUUGGACUGCAAGGAGAUCCAACCAGUCCAUUCUGAAGGAGAUGAGCCCUGGGAUUUCUUUGGAAGGAAUGAUGCUAAAGCUGAAACUCCAGUACUUUGGCCACCUCAUAGAAGAGUUGACUCAUUGGAAAAGACUUUGAUGCUCAGAGGGAUUGGGGGCAGGAGAAGAAGGGUACGACCAAGGAUGAGAUGGCUGGAUGGCAUCACUGACUCAAUGGAUGCGAGUCUGAGUGAACUCUGGGAGUUGGUGAUGGACAGGGAAGCCUGACGUGCU